AUACGGAGGGUGCAAGCGUUGUCCGGAUUUAUUGGGUUUAAAGGGUGCGUAGGUGGCGUGUUAAGUCAGUGGUGAAAGCCUGCAGCUCAACUGUAGAGGUGCCAUUGAUACUGACAUGCUUGAGUAUGGACGAGGUAGGCGGAAUUUGUGGUGUAGCGGUGAAAUGCAUAGAUACCACAAAGAACACCGAUAGCGAAGGCAGCUUACUGGACCAUAACUGACACUGAGGCACGAAAGUGUGGGUAGCGAAUAGGAUUAGAAACCCCAGUAGUCC
RNAcentral lists this ribosomal RNA (274 nucleotides) under uncultured bacterium. Its description in RNAcentral is "partial 16S ribosomal RNA". It matches the Rfam family "Bacterial small subunit ribosomal RNA", at positions 523 to 796 of the family's 1533-position model. The record is from RNAcentral.